AAUGUCUUGAACUGCAGAGGGAAGGUUAGAAAGAGCACAGGCUCCAGUGAUUUUUAACUCCUUCCUCCUCAGGAAGGGUGUAGGUGGAGCAGCAAGCUGAAAGAACCUCUGUGAAUCCCACCCCACCCCCACCUGCCCCUUAAGCUGCUCCCCCAAAUAACAGCCAAGCGGAUCUGAUCUAACCUGAUGGGGGGGGGGAGCCCAAUGUGAUGUGUGAUCAUGCUGUGGUAGCGUUCUCAGCUUCUUUCCCCGUUAAUUAAAGUUGGAGAAAGGGAAAGGGAGUCUGCUCGGGAGAGGAGGCUCACUGAACCAGCUGCCCUUGAUUCUACUCCAUUGUCCUCCUAGGGCCAGGUGUGGAUGCCUCGGGAUUAAUGGAGCCAUAAGGAAAGCUGCCCCUGCUGCUUCUCAGGAGGUGGCAGGGUAACUACCCCAUAGAGGUGAGGGGAUGGAUGCCCGGACAGUGCCACCAGUGACUGCCAUGGAGGUGCCCAGCGUCAAAGAUUUCCACUGGAAGACCCUGGCCCCACUGCCCAGUCGUCGGGUCUACUCGUCCCUGGUGGAGGCGGGAGGACAGGUCUAUGCCAUAGGAGGCUGUGAUGACAACGGGGUCCCCCUGGACUGCUUUGAGGUCUACUCCCCUGAGGCUGACCAGUGGACUUCCUUGCCCCCCAUGCCCACGGCCCGGGCUGGGGUAGCUGUCAUUGCCUUGGGGAAACGGAUCAUGGUGAUUGGGGGUGUGGGAACCAAUCAGCUACCCCUGAAGAUUGUGGAGAUGUACAACAUCGAUGAGGGCAAGUGGAAGAAGAGGAGUGUGCUGAGGGAGGCUGCCAUGGGCAUCUCUGUCACUACAAAAGAUUACAGAGUUUACGCAGCAGGAGGAAUGGGACUGGAUCUCCACCCCCACAACCACCUACAGCACUAUGACAUGCUCAAGGACAUGUGGGUAUCAUUAGCCCCCAUGCCCACCGCCAGAUACGCUGCCACUUCCUUUCUCCGAGGUUCCAAGAUCUAUGUGUUAGGGGGACGACAAUCCAAGUAUGCAGUCAAUGCCUUUGAGGUCUUCGACAUUGAAACACGCUCAUGGACCAAGUUUCCCAGCAUCCCUUGCAAACGAGCCUUCUCCAGUUUUGUCCCCAUGGAUGGCUAUCUGUAUAGCCUGGGAGGCCUGCGGCAAGGCCGCCUCUAUCGACAACCCAAGUUCAUGAGGACUAUGGAUGUGUUUGACAUGGAGCAGGGAGGUUGGGUGAAGAUAGAGCGGUCUUCGUUCCUGAAGAAGCGCAGAGCUGACUUUGUAUCAGGCUGCUUAAGAGGGCGAGUCAUAGUGGCUGGAGGCCUGGGGGACCAGCCCACAGUCCUGGAGACAGCAGAGGCCUUCCACCCAGGGAAGAACAAAUGGGAGAGCCUGCCCCCCAUGCCCACUCCCCGCUGUGCCUGUUCCAGCAUCAUCAUCAAAGGCUGCCUCCUCGCAGUGGGAGGCGUCAAUCAGGGACUAAGUGAUGCUGUGGAAGCCCUGUGUGUCUCAGACUCCUAGCCUCAUCCUGGCGCCUCCCUCGAGAACCCCAGUCCUCGGAGAUUCGUCGUUUCUUGGCAGGGUUAAAGGAUUUCAUCAAAGCCGACCGAAAACUCCUCCAGUAUGUGAAAAGUGGGCAAGAUCUCCAGGGGCUCACUCUUCUGAAAUCCAUCCACCCCCACCCAGCCCUAUCUCCCAAGAAUAUGAAGAUAUGCCCCCUGAAAAGUCACUGGACAUAUGUCCAACCGGUCUCAAGCAGGGAAAGUCCCACCCUCACCCUCGGCUAUUGAAAGGUAGAUGGAUGCCCCCCUCCCCAUGCCAGCCUAUACCUUUCCUAUCAUCUGCCCUUACAGCUGGAGACAGAGUUCCAUGUCUUCUCACCGCCUGAUGUAAUAGGUCAUUGGAGGUCAAUGACUGCUGGACUGUUCUUGGGAUACCGAGAUGAAAAAACAGCAAGAAGCUUACAAUCUGAGGGUGGAAAGAUUAGCAUGGAUGCAAGCAACGGUAAUAUAUGUAACAACAGAGCCGUGCUGCGCCCAGGAGGGCAGGAGUACUCACCUACUCCCACUAAGGGACCCCCAAUUCCAGGUUCAUGCAAGUAUCUCAAGGCUCAGUCCUGGGGGAGCCUGAUCUCUAAAAAAAGAGGACCAAAGGUCCACUGGGUUAUUAUUCCACAGCACCAAGUCCUCCAGGGAUGAGUGCCCAUGGCUGUGAUCCCUGAAGUGGCCAGAGCAGUCAACCCAUAUGCCAAGCUGAGGCUCAGAUAAAUCAAGUGAAGGUCACUUCGCUAAUAAAUGGCAGAGGCUUCCUGAUCCCAAUCCUGUUUUAGUGCCGCAGUGGCAGAAGAAGAAUGGAGAAAAAGGAAAGAGAAUAGAGAAACUCCAGAAAUGACUGAAGAGUUGGAACAAUGGGAGUGAUUUCAAGGAUAGUCCCCAGGUCAGAGCAGGGAAGCAGGUGAAGGUUGUUUUCAACUCCAAAGCCUGCUUCCCCCAACUCCAUUCCCCACGCCUCAAGGACAGAUGUUUAUUCACUAUAUCACACUGGGGAUAGUUAUUAGAGGAAAAGGACUAUCUCACUGUUGGAUUUCAGAGGCCAGUAGGAUAUAUAUGGAGAUGCACUGUGAUCAAGUGGAAAUGUGAGUUUGAGGUUUGAGAGAAAGGCCAAAACUGGAGAUAGAGAUUCAAAGGAGUAAGUGAGAUUAUCCAGCUAGACAGUAGAGACGGUGAAAAGGACUAAGAACCGAACUUUGGGAUGUCCACAUACAGGGAGCAUGAAGAGGAUGAAGAACCCACAGAGGCAGAGAAAGAAAGAUAACAGAGUUAGGAAAGAGUAAAUUACUUGAACUGGAGAAAUGACUAAGGUUUCAGAGACUCCUGGGAAGAACUGUAUGAACAGAUACAAAGGGAAGUGAGCAUAACCAGAGGAAUAAUUGAUACAGUAACAACAACAUUGGGUUUUGUUUUGUUUUGUU
Non-coding RNA from Phascolarctos cinereus (koala), 2981 nucleotides. NCBI's taxonomy places the organism in Eukaryota, Metazoa, Chordata, Mammalia, Diprotodontia, Phascolarctidae. The record is from RefSeq and is a predicted model, not a curated record.